GUCAGGAUGGCUGAGUGGUUUAAGGUGACAGACUCAAGUUUAGGUUCUUGUAUGAGGGUGUGGGUUCAAAACCCACUUCUGACG
This 84-nucleotide transfer RNA is filed under the name Ipomoea nil (Japanese morning glory). It matches the Rfam family "tRNA". From Rfam's summary of the family: Transfer RNA (tRNA) molecules are approximately 80 nucleotides in length. Their secondary structure includes four short double-helical elements and three loops (D, anti-codon, and T loops). Further hydrogen bonds mediate the characteristic L-shaped molecular structure. tRNAs have two regions of fundamental functional importance: the anti-codon, which is responsible for specific mRNA codon recognition, and the 3' end, to which the tRNAs corresponding amino acid is attached (by aminoacyl-tRNA synthetases). tRNAs cope with the degeneracy of the genetic code in two manners: having more than one tRNA (with a specific anti-codon) for a particular amino acid; and 'wobble' base-pairing, i.e. permitting non-standard base-pairing at the 3rd anti-codon position. Lineage: Eukaryota; Viridiplantae; Streptophyta; Magnoliopsida; Solanales; Convolvulaceae. The record is from Rfam by way of RNAcentral.